CGUUCUAUGAAUGAUAUGGCAUCUAUUAUUUUGUAAACAAGCACUUUAUUAAGAACGUACUUAAUGUGAAGUGGAAGGUGUUAUUUCAGCAGCAUGUUUAUGUGGCGGUAUUUUGGUUUAGAAUCCGCGCUAAUUUACGCUGAUUUGUACUUUAUUUACGCAUCCACUAAGCACUGAUUUUUUUUUCAUAAUCGUCACUACUUAUGGUAAUUACAAUUAGAAAAAUUUUGGAUGCCUGUCAACUGCGCUUCGCCGAUUUAAAAAUAUUGGCCACAUUUAAAAUUUAGAAAAGGUUUUUCUGGUUACAUAGAAUAGCGCGAAUGCCGCCGCUUCUGUGUUACAACUCAUGAUGUAAUAUAAGACAGUUUAUUAUUACCACUAUUUAGAAGAACUCAAUGAAAACUGGAACCUAUAUAUUCGGAGAGAGAUCGCUUACAAUCCAGUGAUUUCUAUAAUCCUAUUUCCUUAUUUGAAUAACUUUUUGUGAUUUGCGGUUCGUGUAGGUGUAGGCGGGCCUCAACGUGCUAGUUCUGGUCAUCUAUUUAUCCCUCCCAGAUAUUUGACAAACAAUAAAGAAGAAGAAACAACAGAGAACAUGAUUGAUUAAAUGUAUUAAAAAAAGUACAUAAAAAGAUAAAAAUGAAAAAAAAGGGUCAUGAACUGACGGUGACAUUUUUCAUAAUAAUUUAAGAAGUACAUUUUUUCUUAACGUUUAAUUUUUUAUUUAAAUUGUGAAUGUCAUUUAAAUAGCAUUUAAUGUUUCAACGUUAUAUUUAAAUUUGUUUCUAAAAAUAAAUAGACCAACUUAUUUCUAGUAAUGAAAAGAAAAUGAGCAAUUUUUUAAGAAUAAAACGAAAAAUCAUGGACGCCGAUAUGGACACAAUAUUCAAAAAAAUGCUUUUAACGGAAAAUAAAUUCGAAGCCCAAUUUUAUUGCUUAUAUCAAUACUCUGUAAUUAAGUAAUCAAUAUUUAAUUGCAAUGCCUACCUAUAGCUUAAAGCCGUUCGUUAUUAUAAAAUUAUAUUGCAGUAAUUAUAAUAUUGCGGUAAUUAUUAUUAUUAUUCUAUUAAAGAUGAUACUUUUAGAACGUGCCUGAAUGUUACUAAUUUACAUUUUACUGUUCAGGCUCAAACGUUUACGCUCAAUUCUCAAAUAUUUCAGGAGCCCCCUUUGUGCCGCAACAAAAACAGAUUUAGGUAAAAGUGAUCGACUAGUUUUCCGAAAUAUUUUUAUACAUCUUCUUCAAAUUUCGAACAGUCUGGAUAUGUCGAAAACGAAGCCUUUAGGGUCCAAUGUUUGUAUGACUUUUUUUUUCUUAAAAAUACUAGUGAGAUUUUCAAACUACGAAAAAUCAAAAUAUCUUAAAAUGACGUAAUAUUAUACAGCGAACUCAUUUUUCUUGCCACUCAUUUCACUAUUUGUCGUCAUGUAUGAAAAACGAAACAUCACUGCCCAGGUCCAAAUCAUGGUUGUUUUAAUGGGUUUUAUAACAGAUAUUUAAAUUAAUAAUGGCAUUAAUGUAUAUUGAUAAUGAUAAUGGUAUCGACCGGUAAGUCCCUAAUAUAUAUACUAUUAAAUAUUACGUAUUUUCUAACUAAUAAAAUGGUGUAAGUGUAUAUAUUUGACAUGAUGUCAUUAUUUCUAAGGAACGGUUUUAAAGUAACAUUUUUGCAAAAAAGUGGAAUGUUUUCCUUCCAGCUUCUUAUUCGAAAUCAACCUAGAGGUAGAUCAGUAAUGAUGAGAAUACAGUACGACGGUUCUUUGUAAAUUAUGAAAAAAAAACCAUAACUAGUUUAAUUUCCUGCCAGUGUUCGUAAGAUUCAUGGGGCUGAUGUAAUAGAUCAAUUAAUUUUAUCAGUUAAACAUCUAUCAGAAGAGGCACAAGAAGCUCGCAGCACAGUUACCACAAUAUAUGUGGCGUCAUUUAAAAAAAUAUGUCGAAAAAAUACAAACAUAUGUGAGUUUCUUCAAAUUCUAGAAUGUCCGAUUCAAGACGCAUAAGAGAGCCACGUCAAAAGAAAUGCUGAAACAUGCCGUGGACGUAGAGUAAAUAGUGAUUAACUAAACAAUUUUAAAAUUAAAUUAAUAAUGUGAUAUUCCAUUGUACAAAAUAUUUGCCUGCUUAAAUCUCAGUUAAAACUAACUUGUUCCCUAUUCAUUUGAUUUUGAGAAAAGUACUUUUGCUAGGUUAACCGUGACAAACUACUAGUGACAGCUAAGGUGUCCUAAAGGAAGAUUUUUGACAUUAAUAUUAAAUUGUUUAGUAGCCUGAGUACUAAAACGUUCUAAAAAUAGUUUUAAUAACAUCAAAACAGUAAAUUCUGGAUAACAAAAUUUUAAAAAUGUCGUCUUCAGUUGUUGCCGAUGUCGAAGACGAAUUAUUAAGCCCACAAAGCCAAUUUCAUAACGUUCUCUAUAGCAACGGACCGGCGCUUCUAAAUAUUACCUCUCUCGUUAUUAAUUUUUUCCAAAACAAAUAAAAAAGUGGGCACCGUGAAAGACUUUAUCUAAGCCGAAUCGGUUUCGGUCCUUGUCAGUUCAAAGAUUGAACCGCAAUUAGAUGACGAGAUGAAGGCGCCUGCUGACUUACCCAGCCGCAUUAUCGUCAUUAUAAAAGUCAUCAUCAUUGUGUGUGGAUGCGAUGGAAGAAUAGUCCCACCAAACUAUUUAAAAACGACCUGCCGACACGACCGCUCCACGUCUGCUGCGGGCUAAAACCCUUCAGCGAUUGGCUUCUUCUCCUUUGUCGUUAGUUUUUUUUUAUCUAAUGGUUGAUUUCGAUUGUCUCUAUUAACGUUCCCGUUAUUGAAAGACU
Molecule: long non-coding RNA, 2815 nt
Organism: Cylas formicarius (sweet potato weevil)
Lineage: Eukaryota; Metazoa; Arthropoda; Insecta; Coleoptera; Brentidae
Exons: 3
Source: RefSeq, a predicted model, not a curated record